CAGUUGGAUAAUCGCGUACAGAUUUUUUGUAUGAGGAAAGUCCGAGCAUUCAAGGACAGGCUGCCAGAGAAAUUCUGGGAUGCGUGAGCAUGCGGAAAGUGCCACAGAAAAGUUGACUGCCGAUGGCGAGAUUUCGCACAGGCGAUGGUGCAACGGUGAGUUAAGAGCUUCACCGGCAUAUUUGAAAAAAUGUGCGUCAAGGUAAACCCCAGCUGAAUGCAAGAUUAACAGGGUAGGGUGUCCGCCCAGUGACCCGAAAUAUCGCUUGUGUUUGCAAGUAAUUGCAUUCCCAGACAGAUGAUUAUCUAAAACAGAACUCGGCUUACGGACUGCUUCU
This 337-nucleotide RNase P RNA is filed under the name human gut metagenome. RNAcentral describes it as "Bacterial RNase P class A". It matches the Rfam family "Bacterial RNase P class A". From Rfam's summary of the family: Ribonuclease P (RNase P) is a ubiquitous endoribonuclease, found in archaea, bacteria and eukarya as well as chloroplasts and mitochondria. Its best characterised activity is the generation of mature 5'-ends of tRNAs by cleaving the 5'-leader elements of precursor-tRNAs. The record is from RNAcentral.